AUUCCAAACUUGAAAGAAGAAGAGGCGAUGACAGUGCGUAACACAUUUCGCAGCGACAUUGGAGAGGGUUCCAUUUUAUUAACGCUCUUGAAAAAGAAUAAUAAUCCAGGUCUGUUUGUGUGCUGCAUACUGGACUUCUCUCUGCUGGGAAGAAACACACAGUUCACUGGGAUAAAUUUCUUUUGCAAGGAGCUGAAAAGAGAAACACUUGAAAGUUCCAUCAUCAUAAAUUCACCUGAAGCCACCAUAAUUGAAAGCCCUUGCCCACACAGAACACAUCUUUAGAAGUUCCGGACUGAUGAGAAAAUCUUUUCUAAAUUUGGCCAUCGCAGAAUCUGGGUACGAGGAUCUGCUCUAUACAGCUUGUUAACACUCCAGAUGAAGAAAAGGUGGUCUGUGAAUGACUCUGAGCCCUAAGGAGGAUAAACUUGUGAAGAAGAGUGAGACCGAACAAGCCGCAGCAUGCCUAUUCAUGUACCUGCUCUGCAGUCGCAAAUCAAGAAGGUUUUGUGGAUUACCCCAGCUCCACGUCCAAGCAAUAAACUGUCCACCUCAUGUAAAAUGUUUUACUGCUGUACUGGUUUUAAGUGACCAAGUUCUUGCCAGAAGAACUACACCGGGCUUGUUACAUUAGGAAUAUUGGUGCCGAUGAGGGAGUCUGCCGACAUCUAAUCCAGCCAAGUCACAUGGUUUAUUAAUUAAACUCCCGGAGAGCAGCCAUUUGGCUUUUCUACCUUUA
This is a long non-coding RNA of Haplochromis burtoni (Burton's mouthbrooder), 739 nucleotides long. RefSeq lists it as uncharacterized. Lineage: Eukaryota; Metazoa; Chordata; Actinopteri; Cichliformes; Cichlidae. The record is from RefSeq and is a predicted model, not a curated record.